UAGCACUGCUUCCUAAGAGCAGCGUGUCUACCAAUUUCACCAUAGCGGCAACUUGUUCAAAACAAUAUUAACAAGUUUUGAUUCAAUCGUCGAGAUUAAAAUUUAAAUAAAGAAGCCAAUUUAUUAAAAUUUCCAAUUGAUUUUUAAAAUUAUUUCAAUUGACUUUUUGUCCUUUAUAUUUUU
Molecule: small RNA, 183 nt
Filed under: Arabidopsis thaliana (thale cress)
Lineage: Eukaryota; Viridiplantae; Streptophyta; Magnoliopsida; Brassicales; Brassicaceae
Description: ATSL209540
Source: RNAcentral